This 253-nucleotide ribosomal RNA is filed under the name uncultured bacterium. Its description in RNAcentral is "partial 16S ribosomal RNA". It matches the Rfam family "Bacterial small subunit ribosomal RNA", at positions 524 to 776 of the family's 1533-position model. The record is from RNAcentral.
UACAGAGGUCUCGAGCGUUGUUCGGAUUCAUUGGGCGUAAAGGGCGCGUAGGCGGCGGGGUAAGUCUGGUGUGAAAUCUCGGAGCUCAACUCCGAAAUUGCACUGGAUACUGCUCUGCUAGAGGGCUGGAGAGGAGAUCGGAAUUCACGGUGUAGCAGUGAAAUGCGUAGAUAUCAAGUGGAACACCAGUGGCGAAGGCGAGUCCCUGGACAACUCCUGACACUGAGGCACGAAAGCUAGGGGAGCAAACAGG